Molecule: transfer RNA, 73 nt
Filed under: Stegodyphus mimosarum
Lineage: Eukaryota; Metazoa; Arthropoda; Arachnida; Araneae; Eresidae
Rfam family: tRNA
About the family: Transfer RNA (tRNA) molecules are approximately 80 nucleotides in length. Their secondary structure includes four short double-helical elements and three loops (D, anti-codon, and T loops).
Source: Rfam by way of RNAcentral
GCCUUCGUGGUGUAGUGGUUAGCACACUCGGCGCGUAUUCGAGAGGUCCGUGGUUCGAGUCCCGGCGAGGGCA